Molecule: ribosomal RNA, 851 nt
Filed under: Paracylindrocarpon nabanheensis
Lineage: Eukaryota; Fungi; Ascomycota; Sordariomycetes; Hypocreales; Bionectriaceae
Description: partial 28S large subunit ribosomal RNA
Rfam family: Eukaryotic large subunit ribosomal RNA
Source: RNAcentral
GCCUCAGUAACGGCGAGUGAAGCGGCAACAGCUCAAAUUUGAAAUCUGGCCUCUGGCCCGAGUUGUAAUUUGCAGAGGAUGUUUCUGGCGAGGUGCCUUCCGAGUUCCCUGGAACGGGACGCCAUAGAGGGUGAGAGCCCCGUACGGUUGGUCGCUAAGCCUCUGUGAAACUCCUUCGACGAGUCGAGUAGUUUGGGAAUGCUGCUCUAAAUGGGAGGUAUACGUCUUCUAAAGCUAAAUACCGGCUAGAGACCGAUAGCGCACAAGUAGAGUGAUCGAAAGAUGAAAAGCACUUUGAAAAGAGGGUUAAAUAGUACGUGAAAUUGUUGAAAGGGAAGCGCUUAUGACCAGACUUGGACCGGUUGAUCAUCCAUCGUUCUCGGUGGUGCACUCUGCCGGUUCAGGCCAGCAUCAGUUUGGCUUGGGGGAUAAAGGCUUCGGGAAUGUGGCUCCCUACGGGGAGUGUUAUAGCCCGUUGCGUAAUACCCUGGGCUGGACUGAGGUUCGCGCUCCGCAAGGAUGCUGGCGUAAUGGUCAUCAGUGACCCGUCUUGAAACACGGACCAAGGAGUCGUCUUCGUAUGCGAGUGUUCGGGUGUCAAACCCCUACGCGUAAUGAAAGUGAACGUAGGAGAGAGCUUCGGCGCAUCUCCGACCGAUCCUGAUGUUCUCGGAUGGAUUUGAGUAAGAGCAUACGGGGCCGGACCCGAAAGAAGGUGAACUAUGCCUGUAUAGGGUGAAGCCAGAGGAAACUCUGGUGGAGGCUCGCAGCGGUUCUGACGUGCAAAUCGAUCGUCAAAUAUGGGCAUGGGGGCGAAAGACUAAUCGAACCUUCUAGUAGCUGGGUUUCCG